Molecule: non-coding RNA, 266 nt
Filed under: Lysinibacillus contaminans
Lineage: Bacteria; Bacillati; Bacillota; Bacilli; Caryophanales; Bacillaceae
Description: T-box sequence
Rfam family: T-box leader
About the family: Uncharged tRNA acts as the effector for transcription antitermination of genes in the T-box leader family. T-boxes are found upstream of many aminoacyl-tRNA synthetase genes and some amino acid biosynthetic genes usually in Gram-positive bacteria.
Source: RNAcentral
AGCGAUGCAUGGAAAGGGAAGAGUAAAUUGCCCGCACAUUUAUAGAGAGGAAACGGUAGCUGGAAAGUUUCCAUUUGUGCACAGUUGAACGUAGCCCAAGAGCAGCUUUAGUGAACUAACAGUAGUUAAAGCCGGUUAAACACCGUUACCGAAUUGAGAGCCGAGAGCCGGUUUGAUCAAGCGCACUUGCUGUAGCGAGCGCUUGACUAUAGACCAUCUCGGAAUUAAAGGUGGUACCGCGAACAUAAAACUCCUUCGUCCUUUUA